RNAcentral lists this ribosomal RNA (468 nucleotides) under Salmonella enterica. Its description in RNAcentral is "bacterial LSU rRNA". It matches the Rfam family "Bacterial large subunit ribosomal RNA", at positions 1192 to 1658 of the family's 2925-position model. RNAcentral also lists the same sequence under 1 other name. The record is from RNAcentral. Lineage: Bacteria; Pseudomonadati; Pseudomonadota; Gammaproteobacteria; Enterobacterales; Enterobacteriaceae.
CACCGAAGCUGCGGCAGCGACGCUGAUGCGUUGUUGGGUAGGGGAGCGUUCUGUAAGCCUGCGAAGGUGACCUGUGAGGGUUGCUGGAGGUAUCAGAAGUGCGAAUGCUGACAUAAGUAACGAUAAAGCGGGUGAAAAGCCCGCUCGCCGGAAGACCAAGGGUUCCUGUCCAACGUUAAUCGGGGCAGGGUGAGUCGACCCCUAAGGCGAGGCCGAAAGGCGUAGUUGAUGGGAAACGGGUUAAUAUUCCCGUACUUGGUGUUACUGCGAAGGGGGGACGGAGAAGGCUAUGUUGGCCGGGCGACGGUUGUCCCGGUUUAAGCGUGUAGGUGUGUGUUCCAGGUAAAUCCGGUUCACUUUAACACUGAGGCGUGAUGACGAGGCACUACGGUGCUGAAGCAACAAAUGCCCUGCUUCCAGGAAAAGCCUCUAAGCAUCAGGUAACAUCAAAUCGUACCCCAAACCGAC